RNAcentral lists this ribosomal RNA (194 nucleotides) under Agama sp. MSR-2010. RNAcentral's name for it is "partial 12S ribosomal RNA". Lineage: Eukaryota; Metazoa; Chordata; Lepidosauria; Squamata; Agamidae. The record is from RNAcentral.
CGUCUGACUACCAAAUCAUGCCAACAACUACAAUCACCCAAACUUAAAAGACCUGGCGGUGCUUGAAAUCUACCUAGAGGAGCCUGUUUUAUAAUCGAUAAUCCACGUUAAACCUUACCUUCUAUUGCAACCCAACCAGCCUAUAUACCGCCAUCUUCAGCAAACACACCAUCUUCAGCAAACAGACAUAAGCA